UACGUAGGGGGCAAGCGUUGUCCGGAUUUAUUGGGCGUAAAGAGCGUGUAGGCGGCCUGGUAGGUCUGCUGUGAAAACUCGAGGCUCAACCUCGAGAUGUCGGCGGAAACCAUCUGGCUAGAGUCCGGAAGAGGAGAGUGGAAUUCCAGGUGUAGCGGUGAAAUGCGUAGAUAUCUGGAGGAACACCGGUGGCGAAGGCGGCAUUCUGGACUGCAACUGACACUGAGGCGCGAAAGCGUGGGGAGCAAACAGG
Molecule: ribosomal RNA, 253 nt
Filed under: uncultured bacterium
Lineage: Bacteria
Description: partial 16S ribosomal RNA
Rfam family: Bacterial small subunit ribosomal RNA
Source: RNAcentral